This 503-nucleotide ribosomal RNA is filed under the name uncultured bacterium. RNAcentral describes it as "partial 16S ribosomal RNA". It matches the Rfam family "Bacterial small subunit ribosomal RNA", at positions 28 to 523 of the family's 1533-position model. The record is from RNAcentral.
GAUGAACGCUAGCGGCAGGCCUAACACAUGCAAGUCGAGGGGUAGCAGGAUUAAGCUUGCUUAAUUGCUGACGACCGGCGCACGGGUGCGUAACGCGUAUGCAACCUACCUUAUACUGGGGUAUAGCCCGGAGAAAUUCGGAUUAAUCCCCCAUAGUACUAAUGAAUCGCAUGGUUUAUUAGUUAAAGCAUUGCGGUAUAAGAUGGGCAUGCGUCCUAUUAGCUAGAUGGUGAGGUAACGGCUCACCAUGGCUACGAUAGGUAGGGGGCCUGAGCGAGUGGUCCCACACACUGGUACUGGGACACGGGGCAGACUCCUACGGGAGGCAGCAGUGAGGAAGUUUGGUAAAUGGGCGCAAGCCUGAACCAGCCAUGCCGCGUGCAGGAAGAAUGCCCUAUGGGUUGUAAACUGCUUUUAUUUGGGAAUAAACCUCUUUACGUGUAGAGAGCUGAAGGUACCAAAUGAAUAAGCACCGGCUAACUCCGUGCCAGCCGCCGCAGUAA